AAGAAUUUAGUUAAAACUAUAACAUAAGCUUGUCAUGCUUAAAUUAUUAAAAAUUAAUAAUUCUUA
Molecule: transfer RNA, 66 nt
Filed under: Thinonoma atra
Lineage: Eukaryota; Metazoa; Arthropoda; Insecta; Coleoptera; Staphylinidae
Description: tRNA-Asp
Source: RNAcentral